UGGUUAGAGAGUUAGAAUGCAAUGGAACUUACCCGAUACUCAAACUAUACUAUUUCUUUGGUAUCAGUUCAACUAUUCUCAGCGUGCUUACGAUCAUAGGCAACGUGACACUAGUGUGGUACUAUAGACCCAGUUACACUAAACGCUACAACACUCUUAUAUUUGGAAUAGGAGUAGUUGACAUUGUCACUGCAGUGGCCUGUCUUAUUCAGGUGGUAAACAUGUGGACAGUAGGGCGCUGUGAAGGUACCCACCUCCCCUUCGCUUACACCACAGACCAACUGGCUAUAUUCCACAACUCCCAAUAUGACGAGCAGAUAACGAUUUCCACUCUUCUCUACGAGAUCUCCAUCACCACAACCGUGGGGUUCACUGCACUUCUCAUCAUCACGUGGCUGGUGGACACAGCUGUCUCCGCAGCCACACACAGCUGUGUUAGCACCGUCUUUAUUGUGGGCUAUCCUACGCUGUGGACUGUUGUUAAGAUGCAUGGUCUGCAGGCUGAGCAGAGCGAGGCGGCGAAGGUUUUAUGGUUUUUGCUGCCGAUAUGUAUCCCAGUUAUGAUAUCUAGUGGAGUACUGUUCUAUGUGAAGUACAGGGUUAGGGUGUUUCCGAGACGAGAACUUUCCAGAGCGUGUAUAACGAAGGUGGGGCUUAUGGUUAACAUUGUGUACUUUCUGUUGAUUGUCAUGAACUUGAUAGCAAAACAAGAGCCCCAGAUGCUCCAACAGUUUUAUUUAACUUUGUACUACACAACCACAAGAACUCUUCCUCUAGUAUGUGCUGGGAAAACUAUUAUCUUUGUGUGCGAGGAGCGAUCGUUUGCAAAGGAUUUGCAGGCACGGAUUAAAAACAGUUUUUGGAAACCGUGUCUUUGUUCAGAGGGUGUUUAUUUGGAUCAAGGGUAAUUUCCUUUAUGAUUUUAAAUUUUAAUCACGAUAUCUAUUUUUGUAUUGGAUUGUUAAAUUAUUCAUUUGAUUUACAGCAUUUACAAUUUAAAAUUUCAUUUCAUAUGAGCAACAAGCGCCUUCAAAUUUUUUUGAAACUUUGGUUUCUAUCUUUCUGGGUUAUUACAAUUUAAAACGCUAAGGCAACCUUCAAUACGGCUGUUAGUGUUUUACAAAGCUCUGACAUUUUUGAACAUAAUUAAAAAUUGAUAUCAGCUAGAAUAAUCAUAUGCUUAUAUUUUCAGAAUUACCUCGCUUUUCUUUGCAGGAAGUCCAUCGCUUAAAUUCUGCCUUCUUUUUCUAUCCUGUAAAGGAGGGUACAUUAUGAGAGAUUGUAAUA
Molecule: long non-coding RNA, 1287 nt
Organism: Bolinopsis microptera
Lineage: Eukaryota; Metazoa; Ctenophora; Tentaculata; Lobata; Bolinopsidae
Exons: 3
Source: RefSeq, a predicted model, not a curated record